UUGUGUUGGGAAAAGGAGGAAAAGAGAGAGAAGGAAAGAAAAGAGAAAAAGAAAAAAGAGAAAUAAGGAAAAAAAAAAGGGGGAAAGAGAAGAAAAAGAGAAAGAAAACGAAAGGAGAAAAAAAGGGGGGGGUCAGGUGGGGGAAGCAAUCAGAAAUCAAAAAGAAAGAAAGAAAUAAAACAAAACAAAACAAAAACAAAAACAAAAAAACACGGGGGAGUAUCUUCCGAUUCUGUAUACUUUGAGUCCCUUGACUUCCCCUGGAACUGGUCCGUCUACCUGGUCUUCUGGGGGAGGGGCCUGCUGUGCUGAUUUUCAGGUGUUAGCACUUGCGGGGGCUGCUCUGCCCCUGCCUGGUGCAGGGCUCAGUGGGGUUGUUCACCCCGUGAGGCCCCGGGAGGAAGCCACAGUGGCGGGGGCGGCAGCUCUGGAGCCCUGGAGUCAGCCCCCGCAUUAGCUCUGGGGCUCUCCGUCUGCAGGGCCUGGAGGUUCCAGGGCGGGGCCGCUGAUCUGCUCAGCUCGGGGCAGGAGCGUCCUCGCUGUCCUGGGCCCUCCCGGCCUCUGCCUGUCCCGGGGGAGGCCGGAUCCUGGGCUGUGUCCCGGCGCCCUGUGCUCCGGGGCCUGCGCUGUUGGAUNGGCGCCCUGUGCUCCGGGGCCUGCGCUGCUGGAUUCGCUCCCGCCCCGCAGCCCCCUCCGCGGAGCCGCCGCCCGAGCCCCUCCGAGCUGCUCCGGGUCCCGCCGUGCGCGCUGCAGCCCUUAGGGAGCUCGGCGCAUCUCCCGGGGCGCAGGUGCCUGUUACUGUCCCAGCGAGCCCGAGGGCAUCCCCGCACUCCUGGGUCCUGCUCUAACUCCCUGCGGGCGCGCCUUUCCACCCGGGAAGGUUGGUGCAGCUCCUGCUCCUCCGGGACGGGGCUCUCCUGCCCUGGGGACACUCGCCCCGGCCUCAGCCCGGCUCCUCGCGGGGCCCCUCCCCCUUGGAGGCCUUUUGUGUCUUUAUAUCUUUUUCCCCGUCUUCCUAUCUUGAUAGAAGCAUGAACUCUUCUCACUGUAACAUUCCAGCUGGUCUC
Molecule: long non-coding RNA, 1067 nt
Filed under: Vulpes vulpes (red fox)
Lineage: Eukaryota; Metazoa; Chordata; Mammalia; Carnivora; Canidae
Description: lncRNA (ENSVVUG00000009371.1)
Rfam family: mir-8799 microRNA precursor family (bases 572-661)
Source: RNAcentral